This 233-nucleotide ribosomal RNA is filed under the name uncultured bacterium. RNAcentral describes it as "partial 16S ribosomal RNA". It matches the Rfam family "Bacterial small subunit ribosomal RNA", at positions 15 to 244 of the family's 1533-position model. The record is from RNAcentral.
GAUCCUGGCUCAGGAUGAACGCUAGCGACAGGCUUAACACAUGCAAGUCGAGGGGCAGCAUGAGGUAGCAAUACCUUGAUGGCGACCGGCGCACGGGUGAGUAACGCGUAUGCAACCUGCCCGAUACCGGGGUAUAGCCCAUGGAAACGUGGAUUAACACCCCAUAGUACUUUUAUCCUGCAUGGGAUGUGAGUUAAAUGUUCAAGGUAUCGGAUGGGGAUGCGUCUGAUUAG